GUCCAGGGUAGCCUAGUGGUCAUGGCAUCUGCCCGGUAAGCGGAAGGUCGUGUUUCGAUUCCCAUCCCUUGACA
This is a non-coding RNA of Cordylochernes scorpioides, 74 nucleotides long. Lineage: Eukaryota; Metazoa; Arthropoda; Arachnida; Pseudoscorpiones; Chernetidae. The record is from the annotation of a GenBank genome assembly.